UGAAUAUCAUGCUUUUUAUUUUAUCCAAAUCGUACAAUUAGUUUUCCAGAUUUUGAACUUUGAAGUGAGUGGUCACCUUGAAGGACAUACUUCCAUUUUAGGCUUCACUCUCAAUAAAGGCGGAUAUUUCCCAAACUUUUACUUGGACUGUUCUAAACCUUUAACAGUAUUUUCAGGCAAUACUCAACUGAAUAUCAUGCUUUUUAUUUUAUCCAAAUCGUACAGUUAGUUUUCCAGAUAUUGGACUGUGAAGUGAGUGGUCACCUUGAAGAACAUACUGCCCUCAUAGGCUUCACUGUCAAUAAAGGCAAAUAUUUCCCAAACUUUUACUUGUACUGUUCUAAACCCUUAACAAUAUUUCCAGGCAAUAUUCGACUGAAUAUCAUGCUUUUUGUUUAAUCCAAAUCAUACAGUUAGUUUGCCAGAUUUUGGACUCUGAAGUGAGUGGUUACCUUAAAGGACAUACUGCUAUCUUAAGUUUCACUGUCAAUAAAGGCGGAUAUUUUCCAAACUUUGACUUGAACUGUUCUAAACCCUUAACAAUAUUUCCAGGCAAUACUCGACUGAAUAUCAUGCUUUUUGUUUUAUCCAAAUCAUAAAGUUAGUUUUCUAGAUAUUGGACUUUGAAGUGAGUGGUUACCUUGAAGUACAUACUGCCAUCUUAGGCUUCACUGUUAAUUAAGGUGAAUAUUUCCCAAAGUUUUACUUGGACUGUUUUGGACCCUGAACAACAUCUCCAGGCAACACUCAUCUGAACAUCAUGCUUUUUGUUUUAUCCAAAUCGUACAGUUAGUUUUCCAAAUUUUGGACUUUGAAGUGAGUGAUCACCUUGAAGGACAUACUUCCAUCAUAGGCUUCACUGUCAUUUAAGGCGGAUAUUUCCCAAACUUUUACUUGGACUGUUCUAAACCCUUAAGAACAUUUCCAGGCAAUACUUAAUUGAAUAUCAUACUUUUUGUUUUAUCCAAAUCACACAGUUAGUUUUCCAGAUAUUCUACUUUGAAUUGAGUGGUCACCUUGAAGGACAUACUGCUAUCUUAGGCUUUACUGUCAAUAAAGGCGGAUAUUUCCCAAACUUUUAUUUGGACUAUCCUAAACCCUUAAUAACAUUUCCAGGCAAUACUUAACUGAAUAUCAUGCUUUUUGUUUUAUCUAAAUCAUACAGUUAGUUUUCUAGAUAUUGGACUUUGAAGUGAGUGGUCACCUUGAAGGACAUACUGCCUUCUUAGGCUUCACUGUCAAUAAAGGCGAAUAUUUCCCAAACUUUAAUUUGGACUAUUCUAAAUCCUUAACAAUAUUUCCAGGCAAUACUAAACUGAAUAUCAUGCUUUUUGUUUUAUCCAAGUCAUACAGUUAGUUUUCCAAAUUUUGGACUUUGAAGUGAGUGGUCACCUUGAAGGACAUACUUCCAUCAUAGGCGUCACUGUCAUUUAAGGCGGAUAUUUUCCAAACUUUUACUUGGACUAUCCUAAACCCUUAAGAACAUUUCCAGGCAAUACUUAACUGAAUAUCAUGCUUUUUGUUUUAUCCAAAUCAUACAGUUAGUUUUCUAGAUAUUGGACUUUGAAGUGAGUGGUCACCCUGAAGAACAUACUGCUAUCUUAGGCUUCACUGUCAAUAAAGGCGGAUAUUUCCCAAACUUUUAUUUGGACUAUCCUAAACCCUUAAUAACAUUUCCAGGAAAUACUUAACUGAAUAUCAUGCUUUUUGUUUUAUCUAAAUCAUACAGUUAGUUUUUCAGAUUUUGGACUUUGAAGUAAGUGGUCACCUUGAAGGACAUACUGCCAUCUUAGACUUCACAGUAAAUAAAGGCGAAUAUUUCCCAAACUUUUACUUGCACUGCUCUAAACCCUUAACAAUAUUUCCAGACAAUACUCAACUGUAUAUAAUUCUUUUUAUUUUAUCCAAAUCGUACAGUUAGUUUUCCAGAUUUUGGACUUUGAAGUGAGUGGUCACCUUGAAGGACAUAGUUUCUUCUUAAGCUACAUUGUUAAUAAAAGCGAAUAAUUCACAAACUUUUACUUGGACUCUUUUGAACCCUAAACAACAUUUCCAGGCAACAAUCUGAAUAUCAUGCUUUUUGUUUUAUUCAAAUUCUACAGGCAGUUUUCCAAAUUUUGGACUUUGACUUACAGUGGGAGAAAAUCACGAAAAACUGCUUUUUCAAAACAUGCAAUUUUCACAACAUAUAUGGAAAAUUUGGUAUUUUUUAUUUUUUUUGCAAGUUCGGCUGCACCUUUUUGGGCACCCUAUAGUUACUUAAUGUUUCUGAUUCCAUAGUCGUACCAUGAAAGCAUUCGAAAAUAGUUCAAGAAAUCAAGAAAAUUCAAAAUAUUCUUUUCUAAAAGAACCAAUGUAAUAGGAAUGUUCCUGAUACAAGCAAUUUGAGUAAUAAAAAUAAAAAAUGCCUAAUAUUCAUUGAAAUAUUCCUGGAUUAUAAGAUAAUUAAUUCAUAAACAAUAAAUUUGAGUCAUGGUUGUGGAUAUUUUAUAGAGUAAAUUGAAGCAUGUUCCACAAGUGUAAACCAACUUUUUCAGAGUAACACAAAACCAGUGCUUCAUUGAUAACUUUCUGUAACUUAAAGUGCAGAACAUCUUCACUCUUGUAGAUGUUGCUUUUUGAACAAGUCUAGAUACAAGACUUUGGAAUCCCAAGCUUGUCAUAAGUCCUCAAAGGUUCCAUUUACUUCUCUGCACCGAAUUCUCUAAAUUGAUUCCCAAUACUCCACAAUUUCAAGGAUCUUAGGAAAACUUAAUAUUGACUCCUGAAGUUGUAUAAGAAUUCGUGAGCAAGUAAUGGAAUCCAGAAACUGCAAAUCAGCAUAUCUGCAUCAGAUAAUGAAUAUUCAUUCAGAAACUUCAAGUUUCUUAUGGACUUUCAUUGAUGGAUAUUCAGGGAUCAAGUCAGCUUUUGCCAUAUAUUCAAAAAUGUUUUUUUAGCAGACAAGGAGAGUAAAUAAUAAUGUGGCAUGCUAAAGAGAGAGGAUCAUUUUCGUCCUUCCUAUCCCAAUUUCUUCUGUCUGUUUAGACAAUUUUUAUCAGGACUUUAAUCCUAAACUGCCUGGAAUUAAUAAAAUAUUUUUUUUUAUUUCAGGCAAUUAAAACAGGAGAUUCACCUUCUCAAUGAAAAUCUGCUCACUAAUUUUCUCUCUAAAUAUUCUUCCUAAAACCCUCAAUUCUAAAAAACACGAAACGUCGUAUCUUGGAUAUACGAUUAUCUUCUAAAAAGAGUGAUUAUAAUCACUUAUCACUCGUGAUUUUUAUGCGAAAAUAAGUGGUAAAAGACACAUACGGUACCCACAAAACAUUCCCUCCAGCAAUUGUAUUAUAAACUGCAAAUCUGUCCAAAUAAAUCAAACUUAUAAUGUAUAUAAGAUGAGUAAAAAAAAAUCGUUUCCCUUUUUUUUAUUAUAAAGGAGCGAUGAUUAGGUUAUAAGCGACCGGUGUAUUAAAACAAAAAAAAACAACCAUUUUACUUACUGUAUUAUUUUAUUACUUCAGACUUAAAUUUAAAAAAAAAAGUAACAAAAAAAAACCGAUGUACUUAAAUGUAAGAAUACUGUAUGUUUGAUGUUUAGCAAUAAUAAUAAUUAUGAUUUGUAUACACAAUAUUAAUUAAUAAAUAAAUGUGUUUUGUUCAUUUU
This is a long non-coding RNA of Anthonomus grandis grandis, 3643 nucleotides long. RefSeq lists it as uncharacterized. Lineage: Eukaryota; Metazoa; Arthropoda; Insecta; Coleoptera; Curculionidae. The record is from RefSeq and is a predicted model, not a curated record. The transcript has 2 exons.